GGAGAAAGACUGUAGCUCAGUGGUGGAGCAUCAAUAUUGCACAUGGAAGGUCCCAGCCCAGGUUCAAUUCCUGCCAUCUCUA
Non-coding RNA from Podarcis lilfordi (Lilford's wall lizard), 82 nucleotides. NCBI's taxonomy places the organism in Eukaryota, Metazoa, Chordata, Lepidosauria, Squamata, Lacertidae. The record is from the annotation of a GenBank genome assembly.